UCGAAUGGGUCUGUGUUAUUUUCAUGAAAUUUGGCAACGUUGUUUUUAAAAAAUCUGAUGACAACUGAUUGAACUGUGACUCUUUCUUUGUUGGUCAUUUGUUGGCGGCAAAAAAUACUCGUAGCUGAUGUGUUUUUAUCAAAGUUGAGACAAUUGAAGUAUUUUCCGGCGCUUGGAUCAUCGAUCAGAAUCUGCCGAUAUCAAUGCGAAAAUCAUUUAUUUGGACAUCCAUGCAGGGUAUCUUGUGUGGCCAUGCUGCAUUACUUAUACGCGCUCACGACCUACAAAACUGUUCUGCUUUAUUCUAAGUUUCUUCGAAACAAUUUUGCGAACGUCCGGAGAUAGUGUAAUCGACCAAGUCAUGGAAAACGACUCUGCUGUUUGUAUCCACCUGCACCACACCUGCAGUAAAUGUCACCUCUGAUCUGAUGACUCCAGAAUCUCCAGAAUCAGUAGACCAGACACGUACUUAGGCAGGCGGAACUCCAUUCGUUUUGGGUAAUGUGAUGGCACCGUUUGUCGAACAAAUCGACCCCUUUGGAUUGAGGUGGAGCCUCAUGUCUAUGUACCGAUUUGUCUGCAGAAAAAUUUCUAUAAAAGAUGGACAAUAAAAAACAAAAAAAAAACACAAAAAUGAAACGAAAUUAAUUUU
Long non-coding RNA from Armigeres subalbatus, 652 nucleotides. RefSeq lists it as uncharacterized. NCBI's taxonomy places the organism in Eukaryota, Metazoa, Arthropoda, Insecta, Diptera, Culicidae. The record is from RefSeq and is a predicted model, not a curated record. The transcript is spliced from 3 exons.